This is a long non-coding RNA of Liolophura sinensis, 748 nucleotides long. RefSeq lists it as uncharacterized. NCBI's taxonomy places the organism in Eukaryota, Metazoa, Mollusca, Polyplacophora, Chitonida, Chitonidae. The transcript is spliced from 3 exons. The record is from RefSeq and is a predicted model, not a curated record.
GGCUCAGACAGCGCUAAACAAGACUAUUUUCUUCAAUAUGAGAAUGAAGAUUUGCAGGAGUAUGAAAUACAAGACAAUAACUGCUAAAAUGUACUAGUUUGGCUUUAAAAAAGAGGCAAAUAACAUGCUUUAUGAAUUGAUUUGGUUUUGUGGUAUUGGUAAAAUGGCAUGUCCCACAGUGAGUUUUGUAUUAAAACAUUACUUAAAAUGCUCUUUUUUUGUGGAAUUUCUAUCUCCAGCCAAAAUCAGUUGUUGCCGUUAACAUUGAAUAAUAUAUGUAAUAAGAAAAUUACGUUGAAAAUGUACAAAUGCAUUAAAUACAGCCUGUGAAAAUGAUGUCCCUUAGUGCUGUGUCAACUACGUUACCAUGACACUUUCUGGUGAACUUAACAAGAGUUACAUGCCCUUGAUGACAACCAGAUCCCCCAGGGCAAAGGCGGGAAAUUGCUGAUCUUCAAAGUCAGGUUUGAAGAACUUUUCAAGAAGCAUAUACGGCAGGAAUAUGCCUCUAUCUGCUGCAGAAAAAACAGCGUCGAUAUAGACAACGUCGAGAAGCCCUGACGAUAAUGGAAACGGCAGAAGAGAAAGUGGACUUAGAAGGCGAAGGGCUCGGGCUAAACGCUCUGACAUGAAAGACUUGACAGAAGCAUUACAGCAGGAGAAGAGGCGUGCAGAGCGCUACAGAAAGCGAUACAACCGUCUUCUCAAUCGCACAUCAGACAGCCCUAGAAGUAAAAACUCAUCAGUU